Molecule: ribosomal RNA, 228 nt
Filed under: uncultured bacterium
Lineage: Bacteria
Description: partial 16S ribosomal RNA
Rfam family: Bacterial small subunit ribosomal RNA
Source: RNAcentral
AGUGGCAAACGGGUGAGUAACGCGUGGGAAUCUACCCAGUAGUACGGAAUAACAGUUGGAAACGACUGCUAAUACCGUAUAGUAUCGAGAGAUUAAAGAUUUAUCGCUACUGGAUGAGCCCGCGUCAGAUUAGGUAGUUGGUGGGGUAAUGGCCUACCAAGCCGAAGAUCUGUAGCUGGUCUGAGAGGAUGAUCAGCCACACUGGAACUGAGACACGGUCCAGACUCC